Non-coding RNA from Pelobates cultripes (western spadefoot toad), 156 nucleotides. Lineage: Eukaryota; Metazoa; Chordata; Amphibia; Anura; Pelobatidae. The record is from the annotation of a GenBank genome assembly.
GACAGAGGGAGGGAGGGAGUGGGUGACUAGUGACAGAGGGAGGGGGUGACAGUGACAGAGUGAGGGAGGUGGUGACUGUCACUAGUCACCACCUCCCUCUGUCACUACUCCUUCCCUCCUUCUGUCACUAGUCACCCCCUCCCUCACUCAGUUACC